Molecule: long non-coding RNA, 1532 nt
Organism: Cyprinus carpio carpio
Lineage: Eukaryota; Metazoa; Chordata; Actinopteri; Cypriniformes; Cyprinidae
Source: Ensembl
GUGGUAAUGUUGCAACACUACAGUAUAGAAAUGAGGAAUUAUAUCGAACUGAACAUUUUUUCCCCCCAGAAUAUUUUUCCAGUCUAAAUCAACAUGAUCAGAGUUCUCCUUGUCUUGCUAUUUUUGCAUACAGGUUCUGUUGGCAGUGUUCAGCAAAGCCCCUCAAAUCUAAUAAAAUCAGAGAAAGACAAUGCAGAACUGGUAUGUGAACACAGCAUAGCAACCUACACUAUGAUUUUCUGGUACAAGCAAACACAAACAAACCAUGGAUUUACAUUACUGGGAUAUAUCUGGAAUAAAAACUACUUUCCAGAGGAUAAUUUUAGUAAAAAAAUCCAGCUGGAUGGAGAUGGAGCCAAGAAUGGUUCCUUAAAAAUCCUCCAACUUGAAGCCAGUGACAGUGCAAUGUACUACUGUGCAGCUAGUUUCCACAGUGUGAUGAGCAGUCAUGCCACAAUACAAAAAGCUCUGAAAGCAGCAGUGCUGCACAAUUAACCACAGCAGCUCUUUUGCACCUGCUGAAGCACUUGGUUGAAUUUCCUGCUAAUAUUUGCAUCCUUCUGAAUUGAAAACUUAAACAGGUGAUACUAAAUACAUGCAAGUAAUAACUGGCUAUCUAGUAUUGUUUUGUUAAAAGAUUGUAUAUUUGAAUUAGCAUUAAUUUCAUUUGAUUUUAUUCAUUAAUAUUUCUUUCUACAUUCAGUAUUCUUGGUAAAAGUGUUCUCCAGACUCCUUCUGAUAUCCUGAAGAAAGAAAAUGAGUUUGUUGAGAUCAAGUGUUCUCACAGUAUACAAAACUACUAUGUCAUAUAGUGGUAGAAACAAAGCCAGAGCAUCACAGACCUUCAACUCAUGAGUCACAUUAAUGUUAAACAAGAAACCAUAGAGCCUGAGUUUAAUGUUAAGAUCAAACUGGAUGGAGAUGGAAGAAAUAAUGGCACUCUGACUAUCAACUCCCUCAUGCUGACUGACUGAGUGCAGUGUAUUUCUGUGCAGCAUUUGACACAGUGCUCAGAAUCACACAAAAACCCUCUUGUGCUGUAUAAGUUUAUCAGUAACUGCAAAUUCAGUUUAACUUUACACCUGGGUCUGUGGUUCAAAUAAAUACAACACACAUCAGUAUCUUAGCAAUACAGAGGGAUUAAUCAUUCUGACAUACAGUAAUAAUAUUAAAUAUUAAAACUAAUAAGUAAUCAUUAUCAUUAUUAAAUGUAUAGUUUGCACAAAAAAAAGAUAAACGAAUUUAGCAAAUGUACAUACAUAUUGCAAAGAAUAUUGUGGGUAAUAUGGCUAGUGUGCAGUCAAGAUGUAGUAGUUAUUAUAAUCACUUGGAGGAGCUCUUGAUUAAUUUAUGUGCAAAUUAUGUUGCACGAACCACUUUGAAAUGUUAUUGCAUUGCUCAGUAACAAUUCAGAAUUAAAAUGCAAAACACAUAUCACUUUAUUUACUGCUCUGUGUUUACUUGCACGACAAUCAAAGCACCAUUACUUAGUAGUGCAUUUAUAAUAUUUGAGAUGUAAAUUUGGUCAAAUG